This 429-nucleotide ribosomal RNA is filed under the name Bacteroidota bacterium. Its description in RNAcentral is "Bacteroidetes bacterium partial 16S ribosomal RNA". It matches the Rfam family "Bacterial small subunit ribosomal RNA", at positions 355 to 776 of the family's 1533-position model. The record is from RNAcentral. Lineage: Bacteria; Pseudomonadati; Bacteroidota.
UAGGGAAUCUUCCGCAAUGGACGCAAGUCUGACGGCGCAACGCCGCGUGAGUGAAGAAGGAUUUCGGUUCGUAAAACUCUGUUGUUAGAGAAGAACAGCGCAUAGAGUAACUGUUAUGCGUGUGACGGUAUCUAACCAGAAAGCCACGGCUAACUACGUGCCAGCAGCCGCGGUAAUACGUAGGUGGCAAGCUUUGUCCGGAUUUAUUGGGCGUAAAGCGGGCGCAGGCGGUCAAUUAAGUCUGAUGUGAAAGCCCCCGGCUCAACCGGGGAGGGUCAUUGGAAACUGGUUGACUUGAGUGGAGAAGAGGAGAGUGGAAGUCCAUAUGUAGCGGAGAAAUGCGUAGAUAUAUGGAGGAACACCAGUGGCGAAGGCGACUCUCUGGUCUGUAACUGACGCUGAGGCUCGAAAGCGUGGGUAGCAAACAGG